RNAcentral lists this ribosomal RNA (405 nucleotides) under uncultured bacterium. Its description in RNAcentral is "partial 16S ribosomal RNA". It matches the Rfam family "Bacterial small subunit ribosomal RNA", at positions 30 to 526 of the family's 1533-position model. The record is from RNAcentral.
AUUGAACGCUAGCGGGAUGCUUUACACAUGCAAGUCGAACGAGUGGCGGACGGGUGAGUAAUAUAUCGGAACGUGCCCAGUAGCGGGGGAUAACUACUCGAAAGAGUGGCUAAUGCCGCAUAAUAUCGGCGCGGCCGAUAACGUAGUAGCUAGUUGGUGGGGAAAAGGCUAACCAAGGCAACGAGCCGUAGCUGGUUUGAGAGGACGACCAGCCACACUGGGACUGAGACACGGCCCAGACUCCUACGGUAGGCAGCAGUGGGGAAUUUUGGACAAUGGGGGAAACCCUGAUCCAGCCAUCCCGCGUGUAUGAGAAGGCCUUCGGGUUGUAAAGUACUUUUGGCAGAGAAGCGGUAUCUGCAGAAUAAGCACCGGCUAACUACGUGCCAGCAGCCGCGGUAAUUC